CAAUAGCGUAUAUUAAAGUUGUUGCAGUUAAAAAGCUCGUAGUUGGAUUUCUGGUCGGAAGCUCCUGUCCUCUGAUGAGCGUACAAGUGCGUCCUACCAUCCUUCUGUUAACCUUUAAGGCUUUCGCGGCUUUCUAGGGGCUCAGAUAUUUUACCUUGAGAAAAUUAGAGUGUUUCAGGCAGGCUAGCGCCGGAAUACAUUAGCAUGGAAUAAUGGAAUAGGACUUUUGCCUCUUCUGUUGGUCAUGAGGCUCGAGUAAUGAUUAAUAGGGAUAGUUGGGGGCAUUAGUACUUAACUGUCAGAGGUUAAAUUCUCGGAUUUGUUAAAGACUAACUUAUGCGAAAGCAUUUGCCAAGGAUGUUUUCAUUAA
This 370-nucleotide ribosomal RNA is filed under the name uncultured eukaryote. RNAcentral's name for it is "partial 18S ribosomal RNA". It matches the Rfam family "Eukaryotic small subunit ribosomal RNA", at positions 592 to 976 of the family's 1831-position model. The record is from RNAcentral.